UUAGCAUGUCAUGGCUGCCAAGCUAGCUGCGGAGAACCAUUCAGUGCAGUACAGCACUUCCUUUGACAUAAAGUUAUUUAUCACAAAUAUGGAUAUGUGUCAGUUUGUCACUUUCAUGGUCAUGUAGUGAAGAUCUAUUCAGCUACUGAAUAAACUGUCUUGAAGAUAGCUAAAUGUUUUUACGAUUUAGAUUUAGAGAAAACGUACCAACAAGGGACGACGAGUUUGUCACUUUCCCCAUCGACAACCAUCUUGACCAAAUCCGGUCCUGCUCUGCUAAACAUCAUGUAAACGACGGUGACAGGACGUUCCUGUCAGAAACCCUGCCUGUUUUAACGUAAUUUACCGUAGAUACGCAGAUGAAAGACCGCCCUCCCCACAAGCAGUGGUAUAAUUAAAGCAGUGCGUGCCGUUGAAACAGUCUGACUUGAGAAUAAGGGUCUAGAUAAGCAAGCAAGUAGACACUCUGUGUGCCCAACAUCAUUUUUUAACAGCUUGUUUUGCUCUUUGAUUCUGUUCACAAUGGCACAGGUCAACAGAUGUCUGAAACAGCUGUUCUUUGGAUUCAACAUGUUGUUAGGGAUUGCAGGGUGUGUCCUAUUGGUUUUGGGAAUGAUCGCAGCACCACAUAAUACAGAGCAUGACCAAGGAGAGUCGAUUGGCUUGACAUGGAUUAUAUCGACUGCAGUUGUUUCUGUGCUGCUCUCUUUACUUGGAGCAUAUGGUGCAUACCAAGAGAACAUUGUGAUACUGAGAUUGUUCCUUGGAAUAAUAGGCUUUGGAUCAAUCCUUUUUCUUAUUUUGGGAUUUAAAGUGGCUCGUUCAAUGCCUGAGGCCAUGCAACUGAUUCAAGAAAACCUCCCUGCAAUUACAUCAGAAAUGAUGGCUGAUGCAGAGCAGCGACAAACUAUCAUGGCUCUACAAGUACAAGAUUAGUGUUGUGGAAUAAUGAGUUACAGAGACUGGGAUAGCAAUAUUCCAGAGACCUGUCAAUGUUCUAGUUUCAAGUCAGACCCGUCCCAAUGUAUGGAGGUUCAAAUGACUAAAGAUGGCGGCAACUGGGGAAGAUCUGACAAAUCUGAAAUGAUGUGGAUCUACAGAGAGCCCUGUGGUCCUCUCAUCUUGGAGAACUUCAACUCAGCUUUUAAGACCGUACUUGGAUUCUUCCUUGGAUUCGGUUUGUAUGCUUGUAUUGGGCAAGUGUUAUCCGGCGUGAUGAUUCGUCAGGUCAAGAAGGUGCAGUCUACUGACGUCCCUGAGACUAUAGACGAUGGAUAUCGUUUCACACCGCAAUUCCAGGCAAUUCGCCAUGCGGAGGGAGUUGAACCGACGACCUUCUACCCAUAACCAGGGAUGAGGUCAGGGUUUCAGGUUUUUUGGGCAUCCUGGCAAGCGGCGAGGAGUAGAAGGUGCUUGAACAACGUGAGACGAGGUGCAACCAGAUAAAGAAGAUGAGCGUUCGGGAACGACAAGGCACAACUCACUGCUCACAGUUACAAAUGAUGUCAUUUUGGGAGUCACUGUUAUUGUAAAUCAAAUAUGUUUUAAUGAAUAAUCCUGAAUGAAUCGUGAGUAAGGAUGAGUGAGAAACUUAGAGGCGCUAAUAUCACAACUCACUGGUCACCGUUAUAAACAUGACGCUUCGUUUAUCUCAUUUGUGUAUAACAUUAUUUUUUAAAUCAUAAUAAAGUUUAGUCUGUCCAUAGCUUUUUCUGGUCAUUCUGAUGCAGUCCAUUAUAACGUAUCAAAACAUCAUGAUUUUAACUCAACUUAGAUUAGUAACGUAUCAAAACAUCAUGAUUUUAACUCAACUUAGAUUAGUAAUGUAUCAAAACGUCAUGAUUUUAACUCAACUUAGAUUAGUAACGUAUCAAAACAUGAUUUUAACUCAACUUAGAUUAGUAACGUAUCAAAACAUCAUGAUUUUAACUCAACUUAGAUUAGUAACGUAUCAAAACAUCAUGAUUUUAACUCAACUUAGAUUAGUAACGUAUCAAAACAUGAUUUUAACUCAACUUAGAUUAGUAACGUAUCAAAACAUCAUGAUUUUAACUCAACUUAGAUUAGUAACGUAUCAAAACAUGAUUUUAACUCAACUUAGAUUAGUAAUGUAUCAAAACAUCAUGAUUUUAACUCAACUUAGAUUAGUAAUGUAUCAAAACGUCAUGAUUUUAACUCAACUUAGAUUAGUAACGUAUCAAGCUUUUAACUAAGAACGAAAGUCAUGCCUUUUUUUAAAACCUUUUAAAUUCAGGCUAGAAGAGUAAGAAGUGACCUUAGUGUGACCUUAGUGUGACCUUAGUGUGUCCUUAGUGUGACCUUAGUGUGUCCUUAGUGUGACCUUAGUGUGUCCUUAGUGUGUUCUUAGUGUGUCCUUAGUGUGUUCU
This is a non-coding RNA of Oncorhynchus mykiss (rainbow trout), 2387 nucleotides long. NCBI's taxonomy places the organism in Eukaryota, Metazoa, Chordata, Actinopteri, Salmoniformes, Salmonidae. The record is from RefSeq and is a predicted model, not a curated record.